This 522-nucleotide long non-coding RNA is filed under the name Olea europaea subsp. europaea. Lineage: Eukaryota; Viridiplantae; Streptophyta; Magnoliopsida; Lamiales; Oleaceae. The record is from RNAcentral.
AAAUAUAUCACUCUCCAAUCCAUGGAAUUCUUCAGCAAAUUCCAAUGCUUUGUUUUGUUUAUGUUCUUCUUGACCAGAGGUAUAACCCUGGUUUACAUUUUUCUUUCUUUUUCUCACACAUUAAUAUUAAUUUUCCUGAUUUUGAUUUCACGAUUCAGGUAGUCUGCAGUGCUAUCCUGGAACCCUCAAGGACAUCACUAUUACACAAGUUAGAACCGGAGCGAAAAUGAUGAAUAAACCGGAGUGGAAAGUGACAGUCCAGCAAAAAUGUCAUUGUAGCUUUACAAAUGUGAAAGUACGUUGUCCCGGCUUUGAUUCCGUUGUUAAGCCGUCGCCUUUUAUUAUUUCCAAGUCAGGCCCGGACUUGUGCCUUCUUGACUACGGGAACUCUAUAGGAACAUUCCAUUUCACUUAUGGCUCAGAUCAACCGAUUGCAUUUGUUCCAUAUUCUUUCGUGGAAAAUUGCUCUUGAAUGAAUGAAUUGUUGUUGAUUGCUAGUCUUAUUAUAAUAAAACCUUGAAG